GCGCCGGUAGUAUGCGGGCCUCUCAAGCCCGUGACCCGGGUUCAAAUCCCGGCCGCGGCA
Molecule: transfer RNA, 60 nt
Filed under: Sulfolobus acidocaldarius DSM 639
Lineage: Archaea; Thermoproteati; Thermoproteota; Thermoprotei; Sulfolobales; Sulfolobaceae
Rfam family: tRNA
About the family: Transfer RNA (tRNA) molecules are approximately 80 nucleotides in length.
Source: Rfam by way of RNAcentral